GCGGGUUUAUGAUACGCUAGGAAACAGCAAGAAGCCUAUACACAUGCCCUCCGAAGGCAGAGGUCACAGGUUCGAAUCCUGUCGGGCGCGCCA
Molecule: transfer RNA, 93 nt
Filed under: Candidatus Glassiibacteriota bacterium
Lineage: Bacteria; Candidatus Glassiibacteriota
Also listed under: 1 other name
Description: Candidatus Glassbacteria bacterium tRNA-Arg
Source: RNAcentral